Molecule: long non-coding RNA, 663 nt
Filed under: Setaria viridis
Lineage: Eukaryota; Viridiplantae; Streptophyta; Magnoliopsida; Poales; Poaceae
Description: long non-coding RNA (SVIR_LNC002398)
Source: RNAcentral
ACAACAUAUGUAGCAAUGUAGAUGACAGAAGGUACAUACAGACAUCAAAGAGGUUCUUCGUUAUGUUUCCAUUUGCGAUUUAGGGAGCAUACAUUCAACGUAUAUCAUUGCGAAAACGACCUCGAUCAAACGGAGUAGGUACAGUAGUCCUAGAAAAGAUAGAUCAGUGAUCCAAAUCCUGGACAAAAGAGAAUUAGCUAACUUUAGGCAGUGCAAGCCACAUCAACUGAAUGAAUAAUGUGGAUCUAGUUCUCUUGCCUCAUUGAUUUUUCCAAGUGUUCGUUGAGGAUGAUAACACAAAGCUGAGGCAAUCAUAGUUUAGUUGGUAUUUUGGUGUACUGCAAUUAAAAAGGGCGAAAAUUUUCAGAGGUUAAAUGAGGGAGGCUGGUCUCUUGUACAGGAUUUUUUUUUUGAACGAACGGCACGGGCUGUGCCAUUUCUAUUAAUAUAGAAGAGAUUUACAUGUUUAUUUUAAAGACAAGGAUAAAGGAAAACUCGACGCCAGCAAAGCGCCCGCCUAUACUACGUAUACCGUAUAAGGUUAUACCCCCUCAAGUAAGGCUGCCAUGUGUUUCGCGCAGGUACAGGCCUUGUACAGGAUAUUGUUAGGUAACAUAUGAGGCUACGGAUAAAUGGGAAUUAAUGGGCGACUAAAUUGAAAUA